CCUACGCGAGGCAGCAGUGAGGAAUAUUGGUCAAUGGCCGCAGGGCUGAACCAGCCAAGUCGCGUGAGGGAUGACGGUCCUAUGGAUUGUAAACCUCUUUUGUCAGGGAGCAAAGGGCUCCACGUGUGGCGAUUUUCGAGUACCUGAAGAAAAAGCAUCGGCUAACUCCGUGCCAGCAGCCGCGGUAAUACGGAGGAUGCGAGCGUUAUCCGGAUUUCUUGGGUUUAAAGGGUGCGCAGGCUGGAUGUUAAGUCAGCGGGUAAAUUUUGGGGCUCAACCCCGGUGUUGCCUUGGAACCUGGCAGUCUUGAGUGAGUUAGAGGUAGGCGGAAUGCGUGGUGUAGCGGUGAAAGGCAUAGAUAGCACGCAGAACUCCGAUUGCGAAGGCAGCAUA
RNAcentral lists this ribosomal RNA (393 nucleotides) under uncultured bacterium. RNAcentral's name for it is "partial 16S ribosomal RNA". It matches the Rfam family "Bacterial small subunit ribosomal RNA", at positions 338 to 728 of the family's 1533-position model. The record is from RNAcentral.